Non-coding RNA from Macaca mulatta (Rhesus monkey), 618 nucleotides. Lineage: Eukaryota; Metazoa; Chordata; Mammalia; Primates; Cercopithecidae. The record is from RefSeq and is a predicted model, not a curated record.
AGGAACCUGCCAUACAAAACAAUGCUGAUUCUCUUCAGGACCUGCCUUUCUUUGCCUCUAGACCUAGUUAUGGAAAGUAAUAGAGAAGGCGGAUUGAAGAACUGAUGCAUGGAUGAGAUUUUUGAUACGAAGCACCAACCUGUGCUCUGAAUUCCACAGACAAAACUGUGCUGAUGUACUGUUUCCUUCUGUCCCUUUGGAGCUGGAAAUUUUUGACAUUCCCAACUGACCCAUAAUGGCAGAAGACAGAUCAGUAUUUGAGAAAGGAGAAGGAUUACAAAGAGGCACAAAAUCUGGGGGUAUGUUUGAUAUGUUCAUUGUCUUGAUUGUGGCAAUGGUUUGAUAGGUGUAGAAAAUAUACAUAUAUAUACAUAUCAAAUUGCACACUUCAAAUAUGUACAAUUUACUGUAUGUCAAAUAUAUCUCAAAGUUGUUUCAGCAUAAUAAAACACUGCUUUCAAAUUAGCAAUACAAGUUAUUAAACAUCUAAGAGCAAAUGUAACAAUAAAUAUCUAAGAGCAAAUGUAACAAUAAAUAAAUACCUAAGAGCAAAUGUAAUAGUAAAUAAAUAUCUAAGAGCAAAUGUAACAAUAAAUGUGCAAUGCCAAAAUUACAAAG